CUUAAGCCAUGCAAGUCUCAGUACGAGCUGACUUAAAGUGAAACCGCAAAGGGCUCAGUAAACCGGUCAUAGUUUACCGGAUAUAUGCCACUCACGUGGAUAACUGUGGUAAUUCUAGAGCUAAUACAUGCAAACAAGUCCCGACCAGCGAUGGAGAGGACGCUUUUAUUGGAUCAAAACCAUUCGCCCGAGCGAUCGGGCGUCGGCUUGAUGACUCUAGAUAACACCACAGAUCGCACGGUCAUAGUACCGGUGACGUAUCCUUCAAAUGUCUGACUUAUCAGCUGUCGAUGGUAGACUCUGUGUCUACCAUGGCGCUCACGGGUGACGGGGAAUCAGGGUUCGAUUCCGGAGAGGGAGCCUGAGAAACGGCUACCACAUCCAAGGAAGGCAGCAGGCACGCAAAUUACCCACUCCCGGCACGGGGAGGUAGUGACAAAAAAUAACGAUACGGGACUCAUCCGAGGCCCCGUAAUCGGAAUGAGAACACCCUAAAUCCUUUAACGAGGAUCUAUUGGAGGGCAAGUCCGGUGCCAGCAGCCGCGGUAAUUCCGGCUCCAAUAGCGUAUAUUAAAGUUGUUGCGGUUAAAAAGCUCGUAGUUGGUUCUGCGUGCCGCGCUGUCGGUUCACCGCCUGCCGGUGCAACUGGCAUGCCGCGGCAUGUCCUGUCGGUGGCGGACAGGCUUCCCGGCGUGCCCUACGCGUUUAACAGCGUGUAGGCCGCCGCGCCGGGUUGUCCUUGAACGCCGGCUCAAUCCUACCGCGGUGCUCUUUACCGAGUGUCGAGGUAGGCCGACACUGUUUACUUUGAACAAAUUAGAGUGCUUAAAGCAGGCUCUUAAAUCAGCCUGAAUAGUGGUGCAUGGAAAUAAUGGAACAGGACCUUUGCUUCUAUUUUGUUGGGUUUUCGGAAUCCAAGGUAAUGAUCAAUAA
This 933-nucleotide ribosomal RNA is filed under the name Riptortus clavatus (bean bug). RNAcentral's name for it is "SSU rRNA". It matches the Rfam family "Eukaryotic small subunit ribosomal RNA", at positions 43 to 875 of the family's 1831-position model. Lineage: Eukaryota; Metazoa; Arthropoda; Insecta; Hemiptera; Alydidae. The record is from RNAcentral.